Molecule: long non-coding RNA, 273 nt
Organism: Stylophora pistillata
Lineage: Eukaryota; Metazoa; Cnidaria; Anthozoa; Scleractinia; Pocilloporidae
Source: RefSeq, a predicted model, not a curated record
UUUCAGAGAAAGACUGGGAGGACAUCAGGAAAAUGCCAGAACAUGGCACACUGCAAAAAGACUUCAGAAAAACUAAUUAUGUCAAUGCUAGUUUAUGGAAAUAUAUGGAGAAACACAAAGUCAAACAAGAAAGCAGAGCGUUUCAACUGCUGGCCAAGUUAUUAGUAAUGGACCCAAACAAGAGAAUCACCUCCGACCAGGCUUUGCAAGACCCUUACUUCAAAGAAGAACCACUGCCAACACCAGAGUAAGUAAAAUAUACCCCUCCGAUAA